UACAAAAGAUCACUGGAACUUCCACACUGACAUACAAAGCAUGUGGCGUCUGGAAGUAUAUACAUAUGUACAAAAAGUAUGACAAAAACAAAUGGCAGUAGAUACAAAGUGAGAAUGGAUAAUAUUAGCCCACAUUGACAUACAUAUGUAAAAAAGUAUGACAAAAACAAAUGGCAGUAGAUACAAAGUGAAAAUGGAUAAUAUUAGCCCACAUUGACAUAAUGAUCGCUACUAAUUAUCACUAGUGAGUUCGAGCUUCAUUUAGUAGUCGCCUCUAGAAUAACAAAAUCCACAAAGCAACGGCAACUUAACUAAAAACACCUAUCAAAGCAGCAGAAAUAUUUUCUGUAUGUGAACAAAAAGGAAUAUG
RNAcentral lists this long non-coding RNA (370 nucleotides) under Triticum aestivum (bread wheat). RNAcentral's name for it is "long non-coding RNA (TAES_LNC023104)". The record is from RNAcentral. Lineage: Eukaryota; Viridiplantae; Streptophyta; Magnoliopsida; Poales; Poaceae.